UGAAAAGGUUUCUUCGUUUUCUCAGCAGAGCUAGCAGAGAAAGAGACAUACAGAGAGCGAUGGCUAGGAGAGCGCCAUGGUCACCUGAAGAUGCACAGCUUAAGAGUAUUGUAUUUAGAAAUAUGGGACUGGUCAUAGAGAAUUAGAGAUGUGGCAAGAGUCGCAGAACAAGAUUGCUCAACUGUCUCAGCAGGCGGAAUGGAUGAUUAUCAAGCAAUGUACGUCAUCAAUCAAAGUUGUAUCAUAUGUUUUGGCAUCCAUUCGACUGAUUGUUUCCAUCAGAUGGGAUUUUCAUGGCAUGAAAGCGAGGGAAGAGUGAAUGGGAUCCAAAGCCUCAAUUAACUUCAGUUUCAGGCUUUGACCAAGUCAACCCAAAGACCAUGAGGGAUAAAAGACACUUUACCAAUAGAACCAUGGCAAAUUGGUGGUCCAGUCAUUAAGGGAUUUGGUCGGGGCUCAAAAGUACUUGGGAUCCCUACAGGUUUGU
Molecule: long non-coding RNA, 487 nt
Organism: Rosa chinensis
Lineage: Eukaryota; Viridiplantae; Streptophyta; Magnoliopsida; Rosales; Rosaceae
Exons: 5
Source: RefSeq, a predicted model, not a curated record